AAGGACUUAGGAUAGAAAAUAGACCUAAAGCCUUCAAAGCUUUAAGCAGGAGUGAAAAACUUCUAGUCCUUG
RNAcentral lists this transfer RNA (72 nucleotides) under Eurypharynx pelecanoides (pelican eel). RNAcentral's name for it is "tRNA-Trp". It matches the Rfam family "tRNA". From Rfam's summary of the family: Transfer RNA (tRNA) molecules are approximately 80 nucleotides in length. Lineage: Eukaryota; Metazoa; Chordata; Actinopteri; Anguilliformes; Eurypharyngidae. The record is from RNAcentral.